AAAAAUCCACAUAAUGUUUAUAACAAAAUAAAAAAGUGCCACUAACAUAAAUCCGCGUCGAGAUCCUCCGCCACCCUGGGCCUAAUGUAUCCCGCCUCCAUGUGCAGUGUCGCGAGCUCGCUGCUCUGAUCGUGGCGGUUCAGAUUUGUGUCGGUGGGGUUCUCGAAAACCCUUGUUGCUGCGGUGAAGUGGCGCCCGAAACAUGAGCAUCCGUCAGUG
Molecule: long non-coding RNA, 219 nt
Filed under: Glycine max (soybean)
Lineage: Eukaryota; Viridiplantae; Streptophyta; Magnoliopsida; Fabales; Fabaceae
Description: long non-coding RNA (GMAX_LNC002910)
Source: RNAcentral